AUAAUUGCUGGAGCUUCUCAUUAUGGCUGAGGCCUGAAACGCAGGUUGACUGCAUGGCAUUGAUUGCUCACGUGAUUAUCUUGAAAAAAUAUUUCCAGAUCCGAGCACCCAUGAAGAAAAGAUGGCAGCAUAAUGGCUGGAGAACUCUAUCGCCCCUUUGAGUCUUGAGAGGUGCAUGCAAGCUGCUUUCGGCGGCCCCCGGAGAGAAGAGCGAAGCGCGGAGGGCGAGGCAUCCCGAAAUAUGAGGAUAAAUCGCAGAGUCGAGAGUCUUUUGGAUGGGCAGCAUCUGUCAGACUUCGACGCAGGCCAGGAAAACACUCCCCACCCGAGCCGGAUGUACAGCACAGUCGUAUUGCAGGAAAAAGAUCAACAGUGGCACACGGGUGUGUGAAGUGAACAUGACUUCUAUUGCAUGAGGUCGACUCGAGAAACAAAACGUGAUGUCAUGAAUGUCUCUUGAACACACAACAGAAGUGGGUUUGAUUUAUACUAUACUUUCAAACAUAACAAAUAAAC
Non-coding RNA from Pimephales promelas (fathead minnow), 516 nucleotides. NCBI's taxonomy places the organism in Eukaryota, Metazoa, Chordata, Actinopteri, Cypriniformes, Leuciscidae. The record is from RefSeq and is a predicted model, not a curated record.